Molecule: ribosomal RNA, 307 nt
Filed under: uncultured bacterium
Lineage: Bacteria
Description: bacterial SSU rRNA
Rfam family: Bacterial small subunit ribosomal RNA
Source: RNAcentral
GGAUGAGUAUUGCGCAAUGGGCGAAAGCCUGACGCAGCGACGCCGCGUGGGGGAUGAAGGUCUUCGGAUUGUAAACCCCUUUCGGGUGGGAAGACGGCCCUAGACAACUAGGGCGGACGGUACCGCCAGAAGCAGCCACGGCUAACUUCGUGCCAGCAGCCGCGGUAAUACGAAGGUGGCGAGCGUUGUCCGGAAUCACUGGGCGUAAAGGGCGCGUAGGCGGCCUGGUAAGUAGGGGGUGAAAUCCUGCGGCUCAACCGCAGGGCUGCCUUCUAAACUGUCAGGCUCGAGCACGGUAGAGGCAGAU